This 405-nucleotide ribosomal RNA is filed under the name uncultured prokaryote. RNAcentral's name for it is "bacterial SSU rRNA". It matches the Rfam family "Bacterial small subunit ribosomal RNA", at positions 355 to 774 of the family's 1533-position model. The record is from RNAcentral.
UGGGGAAUAUUGCGCAAUGGGGGAAACCCUGACGCAGCAACGCCGCGUGGAGGAAGAAGGCCUUCGGGUUGUAAACUCCUGUCAUUGGGGAAGAAAAAAAUGACGGUACCCAAUGAGGAAGCCACGGCUAACUACGUGCCAGCAGCCGCGGUAAUACGUAGGUGGCAAGCGUUGUCCGGAAUUAUUGGGCGUAAAGGGCGCGUAGGCGGCCUGGUAAGUCAGAUGUGAAACCCCCGGGCUUAACUUGGGGCAUGCAUUUGAAACUGCUGGGCUUGAGUGCAGGAGAGGUAAGUGGAAUUCCUAGUGUAGCGGUGAAAUGCGUAGAUAUUAGGAGGAACACCAGUGGCGAAGGCGACUUACUGGACUGUAACUGACGCUGAGGCGCGAAAGCGUGGGGAGCAAACA